GAGACGCUGAGCACUGUCAGGAGAAUGACGUCACAAACUCCGCCCACACGCAGGUUUCUUCCUUGUUUGGAGGAAAAGAAAAACGUCAACAUGCAGGAGAAUGAAGAGACACACAUCAGGAGGAGGAGGAAGAUGAUGAUGAACUGAAGAAAGAGAAGCAGAUCAACAUGAGCAGCAUAAUAACAUGAAGAUCAGCAACAUCAGAAAUGAACAGAGAUGAUGAUCAGCUGAUGAAGAGCAGAAGAUCAACAUGAGCAGCAGAGAGAGCAGAGGUCAGAGAUUAUUCAGACACAUCUGAUCAAACAUCUUUCCUACAGUUCAAAACUAAUAACUACAGUGUGUGUUGACCAGUCCUAUGAGUAAAGAUGUCUGAAUAAUUCAUUAUUUCUGAAUAAUGCAUUUUAAUAAAACUUUAGGUGGUUUGAGUUACUGCUGUU
This 437-nucleotide long non-coding RNA is filed under the name Danio rerio (zebrafish). RNAcentral's name for it is "lncRNA (ENSDARG00000117725.1)". Lineage: Eukaryota; Metazoa; Chordata; Actinopteri; Cypriniformes; Danionidae. The record is from RNAcentral.